UGCGUAGGCGGUUAGUUAAGUUAGAUGUGAAAGCCCCGGGCUUAACCUGGGAACUGCAUUUAAUACUGAUUGACUCGAGUUUAGUAGAGGGAAGUGGAAUUUCAGGUGUAGCAGUGAAAUGCGUAGAGAUCUGAAGGAACACCAGUGGCGAAGGCGACUUCCUGGACUAAAACUGACGCUGAGGUACGAAAGCGUGGGUAGCAAACG
RNAcentral lists this ribosomal RNA (207 nucleotides) under uncultured bacterium. RNAcentral's name for it is "partial 16S ribosomal RNA". It matches the Rfam family "Bacterial small subunit ribosomal RNA", at positions 568 to 774 of the family's 1533-position model. The record is from RNAcentral.